This 265-nucleotide signal recognition particle RNA is filed under the name candidate division GN15 bacterium. RNAcentral describes it as "signal recognition particle sRNA large type". It matches the Rfam family "Bacterial large signal recognition particle RNA". Rfam says of the family: The signal recognition particle (SRP) is a universally conserved ribonucleoprotein involved in the co-translational targeting of proteins to membranes. Archaeal SRP consists of a 7S RNA and homologues of the eukaryotic SRP19 and SRP54 proteins. The record is from RNAcentral.
UCGUGCUAGAUGGGGAGCUAGCGGUGCCCUGUAACCCGGAACCCGCUAUACCGGGGUCGAAUUCCCACCUGAGGGCGCAGCCAAGGUCGGGUUUCGGCGGACAAGCGGUGUUGAGGGUUGGGUCCCGUACAACACAAGCCUAUGAACCCCGUCAGGACCGGAAGGUAGCAGCGGUAAGUAGCCACUUGUGUGUGUUGCGGGGUUGCCCGGCCGGAGCUGGCUAUCCGUCGAGUCCGGGUGCGGCGGUUCGACGGUGGGUGCACGG